GUCUACGGCCAUACCACCCUGAACGCGCCCGAUCUCGUCUGAUCUCGGAAGCUAAGCAGGGUCGGGCCUGGUUAGUACUUGGUUGGGAAGACACCAUUUGGGCUUGGCUUCCAUGACA
This 118-nucleotide ribosomal RNA is filed under the name Panthera pardus (leopard). Lineage: Eukaryota; Metazoa; Chordata; Mammalia; Carnivora; Felidae. The record is from RNAcentral.